RNAcentral lists this ribosomal RNA (163 nucleotides) under uncultured Sulfurospirillum sp. Its description in RNAcentral is "partial 16S ribosomal RNA". It matches the Rfam family "Bacterial small subunit ribosomal RNA", at positions 1219 to 1382 of the family's 1533-position model. Lineage: Bacteria; Pseudomonadati; Campylobacterota; Epsilonproteobacteria; Campylobacterales; Sulfurospirillaceae. The record is from RNAcentral.
CGCGUGCUACAAUGGAUAGGACAGAAAGACGCAAGACCGCGAGGUGGAGCAAAUCUUUAAACCUAUUCUCAGUUCGGAUUGGAGUCUGCAACUCGACUCCAUGAAGCUGGAAUCGCUAGUAAUCGCAGAUCAGCACGCUGCGGUGAAUACGUUCCCGGGCCUU